CCUACGGGAGGCAGCAGUGAGGAAUAUUGGGCAAUGGGGGCAACCCUGACCCAGCCAUGCCGCGUGAGUGAAGAAGGUCUUCGGAUUGUAAAGCUUUUUCGGACGUGACGAUGAUGACGGUAGCGACAAAAGAAGCACCGGCUAACUACGUGCCAGCAGCCGCGGGAAUACGUAGGGGGCAAGCGUUAUCCGGAUUUACUGGGUGUAAAGGGAGCGUAGUCGGCGAUGCAAGUCUGAAGUGAAAGGCGGGGGCCCAACCCCUGGACUGCUUUGGAAACUGUAUGGCUGGAGUGCAGGAGAGGUAAGUGGAAUUCCUAGUGUAGCGGUGAAAUGCGUAGAUAUUAGGAGGAACACCAGUGGCGAAGGCGGCUUACUGGACUGUAACUGACGUUGAGGCUCGAAAGCGUGGGGAGCAAACAGGAUUAGAUACCCUUGUAGUC
This 440-nucleotide ribosomal RNA is filed under the name uncultured bacterium. RNAcentral's name for it is "partial 16S ribosomal RNA". It matches the Rfam family "Bacterial small subunit ribosomal RNA", at positions 338 to 795 of the family's 1533-position model. The record is from RNAcentral.